Molecule: ribosomal RNA, 274 nt
Filed under: uncultured bacterium
Lineage: Bacteria
Description: partial 16S ribosomal RNA
Rfam family: Bacterial small subunit ribosomal RNA
Source: RNAcentral
AUACGGAGGAUCCGAGCGUUAUCCGGAUUUAUUAGGUUUAAAGGGUGCGCAGGCGGAACUGUAAGUCAUCGGUGAAAUCCUACAGCUUAACUGUAGAACUGCCGGUGAUACUGCGAUUCUUGAGUAUAGUUGAGGUAGGCGGAAUGUGUAGUGUAGCGGUGAAAUGCAUAGAUAUUACACAGAACACCGAUUGCGAAGGCAGCUUACUAAACUAUUACUGACGCUCAUGCACGAAAGCGUGGGGAGCGAACAGGAUUAGAAACCCGGGUAGUCC